This 500-nucleotide ribosomal RNA is filed under the name uncultured bacterium. RNAcentral's name for it is "bacterial SSU rRNA". It matches the Rfam family "Bacterial small subunit ribosomal RNA", at positions 28 to 529 of the family's 1533-position model. The record is from RNAcentral.
GAUGAACGCUGGCGGCGUGCUUAACACAUGCAAGUCGAACGGAGAAAGGGUAGCUUGCUAUCUUUUCUUAGUGGCGGACGGGUGAGUAACGCGUGGGUAACCUGCCCUUUGCAGGGGGAUAACAGUGAGAAAUCACUGCUAAUACCGCAUACCAACUUCUUUCGCAUGAAGGAAGUUUGAAAGAUUUAUCGGCAAAGGAUGGACCCGCGUUGGAUUAGCUAGUUGGUGAGAUAACAGCCCACCAAGGCAACGAUCCAUAGCCGGUCUGAGAGGGUGAACGGCCACACUGGGACUGAGACACGGCCCAGACUCCUACGGGAGGCAGCAGUGGGGAAUAUUGCACAAUGGGCGAAAGCCUGAUGCAGCGACGCCGCGUGAAGGAUGAAGGUCUUCGGAUUGUAAACUUCUAUCAGCAGGGAAGAAAGGGCCUAUGGCCUAUGACGGUACCUGACUAAGAAGCCCCGGCUAACUACGUGCCAGCAGCCGCGGUAAAAGUACUA